UAGGGAAUCUUCCGCAAUGGACGCAAGUCUGACGGAGCAACGCCGCGUGAGUGAAGAAGGAUUUCGGUUCGUAAAACUCUGUUGUUAGAGAAGAACAGCGCAUAGAGUAACUGUUAUGCGUGUGACGGUAUCUAACCAGAAAGCCACGGCUAACUACGUGCCAGCAGCCGCGGUAAUACGUAGGUGGCAAGCGUUGUCCGGAUUUAUUGGGCGUAAAGCGAGCGCAGGCGGUCAAUUAAGUCUGAUGUGAAAGCCCCCGGCUCAACCGGGGAGGGUCAUUGGAAACUGGUUGACUUGAGUGCAGAAGAGGAGAGUGGAAUUCCGUGUGUAGCGGUGAAAUGCGUAGAUAUAUGGAGGAACACAAGUGGCGAAGGCGACUCGCUGGUCUGUAACUGACGCUGAGGCUCGAAAGCGUGGGUAGCAAACAGG
This 429-nucleotide ribosomal RNA is filed under the name Bacteroidota bacterium. RNAcentral's name for it is "Bacteroidetes bacterium partial 16S ribosomal RNA". It matches the Rfam family "Bacterial small subunit ribosomal RNA", at positions 355 to 776 of the family's 1533-position model. Lineage: Bacteria; Pseudomonadati; Bacteroidota. The record is from RNAcentral.